This is a long non-coding RNA of Mugil cephalus (flathead mullet), 1165 nucleotides long. RefSeq lists it as uncharacterized. The transcript is spliced from 3 exons. The record is from RefSeq and is a predicted model, not a curated record. NCBI's taxonomy places the organism in Eukaryota, Metazoa, Chordata, Actinopteri, Mugiliformes, Mugilidae.
GCUGCUUGAAAACUCAGAGUGGCGGCUCCAGCUCUCACCAUGCUGUUUCUGCAGUGAAGCAAACAGCUACACCUACCACACCACCCACCUGUCACUCAAAACAGUUUUAAUUAUGCAUAAUUUAAUGUCUAGAUAUAGUUUAUAAUAAUCCCACACACAGUUGCCAUGAAUGGAGAAUAUAACUUAAGCGACUAAAACUAAGCGACACUUUUUGAGUUAGCCUCUACCGGCCAUUAGAGGAACUGCAGUUCUCUGGUACUUUGGCGUUAGCCCUAAUUUUCAAUUCGUCCGCUAGGUGGCGGUAAUGCACUUGCAAACUAGUUUACAAACUGGCAAGGACAUUAAUUAAAUGUAAAUAAAAGAAGAAGAAAAACAUUGUAGAAGAAGACAUUUGUGUGACUUCGAAAUGUUUUUGUAGUGACAUUAAAAAGAAACGAGGGUAAAACGGAGAAGUAGUUGUUGAGACGCGAUCAACGCCGUUACAGCAAGAACCUGACUGAAGGUUACAAGACAGUAGUGGACAUGUCAGGAAUAAACAGCUCUCAGAAGUCGCUCUCCAAGUCUCUCCCAAGUUUCCACCUCAUGGAUCAAGCUCAGAAGCUCUGCCCAUCUACCUUCGGUUUCUGAAGCUUUCAGCUUGUUGCCACGGUAGCCUAGCUCCCACCGCCCCAUUAUCCCAGCAGCCCACUCACACAUGCAUAUACAGGCUCCGCAAACACAGGCCGUCGCACACAAGGCCCUAAUGAAAUGAAUCCUUCUGUAUCAGCAGCGCACUGGCCAUUUGGCACAAUGAACCGCCAUGAAUAAUUCAGCCAGAAGAGCAGCGAUAGACGGCAAAGACAGAAGAGAGGAGAUGAGAGGAGGAAAAGGUGGAGCAGAGAUGAGAGGCAAGUGGCUGAAAACAAGAGGGGAGCGGCAGGACAUUAGUGUGGGAGUUAGCUAAGAUGCGAGUAGCAGAGGAGGGGAGACACGAGAGGGAAAUAUUCGAACUUGCUGAGUCAAGUGAGAGGAGAUCUGUGUGUUUCUGACAAUACAGAGGCCCCUUUGUGCCGCCCUGUGCAGAUGCCUGUGCACAAACACACUGGGACGACCGAGCCGUGCCAGACUCUGCUGCCUCCCUCUUUCCUCCCUCUAUCUGCACCGUUCUGCUUCACUUCUAAAGCUG